UACAGAGGGUGCAAGCGUUAAUCGGAAUUACUGGGCGUAAAGCGUGCGCAGACGGUUGCGUAAGUCUGAUGUGAAAUCCCCGGGCUCAACCUGGGAAUGGCAUUGGAUACUGGCUCGCUAGAGUGCGGUAGAGGGUGGUGGAAUUCCCGGUGUAGCAGUGAAAUGCGUAGAGAUCGGGAGGAACAUCUGUGGCGAAGGCGGCCACCUGGACCAACACUGACACUGAGGCGCGAAAGCUAGGGGAGCAAACAGG
RNAcentral lists this ribosomal RNA (253 nucleotides) under uncultured bacterium. Its description in RNAcentral is "partial 16S ribosomal RNA". It matches the Rfam family "Bacterial small subunit ribosomal RNA", at positions 524 to 776 of the family's 1533-position model. The record is from RNAcentral.